UACUCUUAGCGGUGGAUCACUUAGCUCAUGGGCCGAUGAAGGACGCAGCUAGCUGCAAUAAAUAAUGUGAACUGCAGACACACUGGGCACUAAAAUUUCGAACGCACAUUGUGCCAUCGGGUUCAUCACCAGUGUCG
Molecule: ribosomal RNA, 137 nt
Filed under: Gongylonema pulchrum
Lineage: Eukaryota; Metazoa; Nematoda; Chromadorea; Rhabditida; Gongylonematidae
Description: 5.8S ribosomal RNA
Rfam family: 5.8S ribosomal RNA
About the family: 5.8S ribosomal RNA (5.8S rRNA) is a component of the large subunit of the eukaryotic ribosome. It is transcribed by RNA polymerase I as part of the 45S precursor that also contains 18S and 28S rRNA.
Source: Rfam by way of RNAcentral